RNAcentral lists this ribosomal RNA (254 nucleotides) under uncultured bacterium. RNAcentral describes it as "partial 16S ribosomal RNA". It matches the Rfam family "Bacterial small subunit ribosomal RNA", at positions 524 to 776 of the family's 1533-position model. The record is from RNAcentral.
UACGUAGGGGGCGAGCGUUGUCCGGAUUUACUGGGCGUAAAACGCUUGUAGGCGGUCACGCCAAGUCGGAUGUGAAAUCUCCCGGCUUAACUGGGAGGGGUCAUUCGAUACUGGCGGACUCGAGGCAGGUAGGGGGAAGCGGAAUUCCCGGUGUAGUGGUGGAAUGCGUAGAUAUCGGGAGGAACACCAGUGGCGAAGGCGGCUUCCUGGACCUGUUCUGACGCUGAGGAGCGAAAGCGUGGGGAGCGAUCCGG